AUAAUGCAAGUCGAGCGAACUGAUUAGAAGCUUGCUUCUAUGACGUUAGCGGCGGACGGGUGAGUAACACGUGGGCAACCUGCCUGUAAGACUGGGAUAACUUCGGGAAACCGAAGCUAAUACCGGAUAGGAUCUUCUCCUUCAUGGGAGAUGAUUGAAAGAUGGUUUCGGCUAUCACUUACAGAUGGGCCCGCGGUGCAUUAGCUAGUUGGUGAGGUAACGGCUCACCAAGGCAACGAUGCAUAGCCGACCUGAGAGGGUGAUCGGCCACACUGGGACUGAGACACGGCCCAGACUCCUACGGGAGGCAGCAGUAGGGAAUCUUCCGCAAUGGACGAAAGUCUGACGGAGCAACGCCGCGUGAGUGAUGAAGGCUUUCGGGUCGUAAAACUCUGUUGUUAGGGAAGAACAAGUACGAGAGUAACUGCUCGUACCUUGACGGUACCUAACCAGAAAGCCACGGCUAACUACGUGCCAGCAGCCGCGGUAAUACGUAUGUGGCAAGCGUUAUCCGGAAUUAUUGGGCGUAAAGCGCGCGCAGGCGGUUUCUUAAGUCUGAUGUGAAAGCCCACGGCUCAACCGUGGAGGGUCAUUGGAAACUGGGGAACUUGAGUGCAGAAGAGAAAAGCGGAAUUCCACGUGUAGCGGUGAAAUGCGUAGAGAUGUGGAGGAACACCAGUGGCGAAGGCGGCUUUUUGGUCUGUAACUGACGCUGAGGCGCGAAA
Molecule: ribosomal RNA, 725 nt
Filed under: Bacillus sp. (in: firmicutes)
Lineage: Bacteria; Bacillati; Bacillota; Bacilli; Caryophanales; Bacillaceae
Description: bacterial SSU rRNA
Rfam family: Bacterial small subunit ribosomal RNA
Source: RNAcentral